Molecule: long non-coding RNA, 695 nt
Filed under: Apteryx owenii (little spotted kiwi)
Lineage: Eukaryota; Metazoa; Chordata; Aves; Apterygiformes; Apterygidae
Description: lncRNA (ENSAOWG00000005682.1)
Source: RNAcentral
CAAAUGCUAAAUCCUGUGCCAUUGAAGUUAAUGGCACAUUUUCCAUUUAGUAGAUCAGAACAAAAAUAACAGCCUAAGUAACUACAUGUCAGAAAUUGAAAAAGCAGCAAUCAGUUUCUAUGAGAACUUUUCUUGGGCAGACAUCAAGGCAGCAUCACAAGUUACCUGUUCAGACCCUGUAAAACUGAUUCUUUCGCUGAAGGACACAAAUUACUCUCCUGAAUCAAGAGUAAAUAUUAGUGUCCGGCCAUGAGAGAAAAGUGGGACUAUCACAGAAGUUUACCCAGUACUGAUGGAUGGCCCAAGACUAGAGGAGCACAAGAACCAGGGAGUUGUAUGGGUGGUUUAACACUAACUGUAGCUGUGUAUACAAGACCCCUUUGGACUUCUGCCAGGUACAGUUUAGGCAAUCUGGAGAACGUGGGCCAAGCUGUACAAUGCAGGUCUGUGGUGGUUUAAGACCUGAGGCACACAAAUAUUGUGAGGUUCAAAGGGAUGCGGGGAAAUCAGCACACAAAGCACAAAGCAGUAUCUUUCUGUAGCAGAGAGUUCUGGACCCAAGAGUUACUGCUUCGUCUCAGGGAAUAACCUGGAGGCAUAAUCAGCUCUGAUCUGUUUGUUUUUGUCUCCUCCUGGGAGCCAUUAUAUGAUAUUAACAAAAUAAAUCAAUUUUAAAUAACUCGGUGUGUAAGCUU